GACGAACGCUGGCGGCGUGCUUAAUACAUGCAAGUCGAACGGAAAGGCCCUGCUUUUGUGGGGUGCUCGGGUGGCGAACGGGUGAGUAACACGUGAGUAACCUGCCCUUGACUUUGGGAUAACUUCAGGAAACUGGGGCUAAUACCGGAUAGGAGCUCCUGCUGCAUGGUGGGGGUUGGAAAGUUUCGGCGGUUGGGGAUGGACUCGCGGCUUAUCAGCUUGUUGGUGGGGUAGUGGCUUACCAAGGCUUUGACGGGUAGCCGGCCUGAGAGGGUGACCGGCCACAUUGGGACUGAGAUACGGCCCAGACUCCUACGGGAGGCAGCAGUGGGGAAUAUUGCACAAUGGGCGGAAGCCUGAUGCAGCAACGCCGCGUGCGGGAUGACGGCCUUCGGGUUGUAAACCGCUUUCGCCUGUGGCGAAGCGUGAGUGACGGUAAUGGGUAAAGAAGCACCGGCUAACUACGUG
RNAcentral lists this ribosomal RNA (468 nucleotides) under uncultured bacterium. RNAcentral describes it as "partial 16S ribosomal RNA". It matches the Rfam family "Bacterial small subunit ribosomal RNA", at positions 28 to 507 of the family's 1533-position model. The record is from RNAcentral.